This 45-nucleotide ribosomal RNA is filed under the name Trichophyton mentagrophytes. RNAcentral describes it as "partial large subunit ribosomal RNA". RNAcentral also lists the same sequence under 1 other name. The record is from RNAcentral. Lineage: Eukaryota; Fungi; Ascomycota; Eurotiomycetes; Onygenales; Arthrodermataceae.
UUGACCUCGGAUCAGGUAGGGAUACCCGCUGAACUUAAGCAUAUA